CAUUAUUCAGUCCCUUUCCCUCCCCUCCUUGCACGGGCAGCCUUCUCUGAAAUCUCAAACAGAAGCCUCCAGUUUCUCCUUGCAAUCUGAUUAUCAAUUUGCACCUCAGCAAUGGAAGGCCAGAACUCUAUUGUUUUGUUAAUUGUCAAUUUGCAUCUUUGAAAGGUGUUGUGCAUUUUCUACUUUUGGCAGGAUGGUUGGAGAUAGGAGCUUUUCCAAACUGCAAGCUGCAAAUGAAGAGGUGGCCAAAGUCACUCCUGAUGAGCAACAAGGAAGGCUUCCUCUGCAUGGAAGGAGGUUUUAAAAUCAUCCAAGCUACAAAAAGGCAAGGACCCUGCUGUGUUCUCCCUCCCAGAGUAAAUGCCAGACCUGUUCUCCCACCGAGUGCAAAGCUGCCCAGGAAACAACAGCUGGACCAAAAACCUCUGGGAAUCCAACUCAGCCUGAGGCACACGGGAACACCACAGAGAUCACCCCUUGGAAGAGCCCAGAAAGUCCUCUGAAAGAUCAAAUUCUGACUUCCUCCCAAAAUCCAAGUAAUAAAUUUCCAACAA
Long non-coding RNA from Passer domesticus (house sparrow), 554 nucleotides. RefSeq lists it as uncharacterized. Lineage: Eukaryota; Metazoa; Chordata; Aves; Passeriformes; Passeridae. The record is from RefSeq and is a predicted model, not a curated record. The transcript is spliced from 3 exons.